AGCGAGAAAGAGGGGUUCGCCCCUCGAGUACAGCGGCGUACGGGUGAGUAACACGUGGAUAAUCUGCCCUCCGGUGGGGGACAACAACCCGAAAGGGUUGCUAAUACCGCAUUCGUCGGCGAGCUCUGCGGAGUUCGUCGGGAAAGGUGCCCUCUACUUGUAAGGUACCGCCGGAGGAGGAGUCCGCGUCCCAUCAGCUAGUUGGUAGGGUAAUGGCCUACCAAGGCAAAGACGGGUAGCUGGCCUGAGAGGAUGAUCAGCCACACUGGGACUGAGACACGGCCCAGACUCCUACGGGAGGCAGCAGUGGGGAAUAUUGGACAAUGGGCGAAAGCCUGAUCCAGCCAUGCCGCGUGAGUGAUGAAGGCCCUCGGGUCGUAAAGCUCUGUGGAGAGGGAAGAAUCCGUUCAGCAUCAGAUCCUGAACGUUGACGGUACCUCUUUAGCAAGCACCGGCUAACUCCGUGCCAGCAGCCGCGGUAAUACGGAGGGUGCAAACGUUGCUCGGAAUCAUUGGGCGUAAAGCGCACGUAGGCGGACCGCUAAGUCGGAUGUGAAAGCCCUCGGCUUAACCGAGGAAGUGCAUUCGAAACUGACGGUCUUGAGUAUGGAAGANGGUCNCGGAAUUCCCCGGNGUAGAGGUGAANNUCGUAGAUAUC
This 658-nucleotide ribosomal RNA is filed under the name uncultured bacterium. Its description in RNAcentral is "bacterial SSU rRNA". It matches the Rfam family "Bacterial small subunit ribosomal RNA", at positions 65 to 698 of the family's 1533-position model. The record is from RNAcentral.